AGUGAACGCUGGCGGUAGGCCUAACACACGCAAGUCGAACGGCAGCACAGUAAGAGCUUGCUCUUACGGGUGGCGAGUGGCGGACGGGUGAGGAAUACAUCGGAAUCUACUUUUUCGUGGGGGAUAACGUAGGGAAACUUACGCUAAUACCGCAUACGACCUACGGGUGAAAGCAGGGGAUCUUCGGACCUUGCGCGAUUGAAUGAGCCGAUGUCGGAUUAGCUAGUUGGCGGGGUAAAGGCCCACCAAGGCGACGAUCCGUAGCUGGUCUGAGAGGGUGAUCAGCCACACUGGAACUGAGACACGGUCCAGACUCCUACGGGAGGCAGCAGUGGGGAAUAUUGGACAAUGGGCGCAAGCCUGAUCCAGCCAUACCGCGUGGGUGAAGAAGGCCUUCGGGUUGUAAAGCCCUUUUGUUGGGAAAGAAAAGCAGCAGGUUAAUACCCCGCUGUUCUGACGGUACCCAAAGAAUAAGCACCGGCUAACUUCGUG
This 492-nucleotide ribosomal RNA is filed under the name uncultured bacterium. RNAcentral's name for it is "partial 16S ribosomal RNA". It matches the Rfam family "Bacterial small subunit ribosomal RNA", at positions 29 to 507 of the family's 1533-position model. The record is from RNAcentral.